This 497-nucleotide ribosomal RNA is filed under the name uncultured bacterium. RNAcentral describes it as "partial 16S ribosomal RNA". It matches the Rfam family "Bacterial small subunit ribosomal RNA", at positions 28 to 507 of the family's 1533-position model. The record is from RNAcentral.
GAUGAACGCUGGCGGCGUGCCUAAUACAUGCAAGUCGAGCGAACGGGCGAGAAGCUUGCUUCUCUGAUGUUAGCGGCGGACGGGUGAGUAACACGUGGAUAACCUACCUAUAAGACUGGGAUAACUUCGGGAAACCGGAGCUAAUACCGGAUAAUAUUUUGAACCGCAUGGUUCAAAAGUGAAAGACGGUCUUGCUGUCACUUAUAGAUGGAUCCGCGCUGCAUUAGCUAGUUGGUAAGGUAACGGCUUACCAAGGCAACGAUGCAUAGCCGACCUGAGAGGGUGAUCGGCCACACUGGAACUGAGACACGGUCCAGACUCCUACGGGAGGCAGCAGUAGGGAAUCUUCCGCAAUGGGCCAAAGCCUGACGGAGCAACGCCGCGUGAGUGAUGAAGGUCUUCGGAUCGUAAAACUCUGUUAUUAGGGAAGAACAUAUGUGUAAGUAACUGUGCACAUCUUGACGGUACCUAAUCAGAAAGCCACGGCUAACUACGUG